UCUCCCUACUUCAAUUUACUCCACUUAAACUGCAAUACCAAAAUCCAGAGAGAGAGAGAGAGAGAGGGAGGAAACCAUGGAAGAGGCUAAGGAAGUGAGUAAAAGCGAUGAGCCAAAGUACAGAGGAGUAAAAGCCAUGCCUUUUGUCAUAGGAAACGAGACAUUUGAGAAGCUGGGAACGCUCGGCACGUCAUCGAAUCUCUUGGUGUACCUAACAAAUGUGUUCCACAUGAAUUCGGUUACGGCAACAAAUUUUGUCAACGUCUUCAAUGGGACUUGUAACUUUGGAACCCUGCUCGGAGCUUUCCUCUCCGACACUUACUUUGGCCGCUAUAAAACUCUGGGAUUUGCUUCCAUAUCCUCCUCCUUGGGGAUGCUCGUACUGACACUCACAGCAGCAAUCUCAAACCUCCACCCUCCCUCCUGUGGCACUACAGACACAUGCGUUGCCCCAACUGCAUGGCAAAUGGCUUUCCUACUGAGUGCCUUCGUCCUACUGGUGAUUGGCGCAAGCGGUAUCCGCCCGUGCAACCUGGCCUUCGGAGCGGACCAGUUCAACCCCAACACAGAGUCGGGGAAGAGGGGAAUCACUAGCUUCUUCAACUGGUACUACUUCACCUUCACGUUCGCGAUGAUGGUUUCCCUGACGGUGAUCGUCUACGUGCAGACAGACAAGAGCUGGGCCUGGGGAUUGGCCAUCCCGACGUUCCUCAUGUUCUUGUCCUGCUUCUUCUUCUUCGUUGGAACGAGGAUUUACGUCAUGGUGAUUCCCGCGGGGAGCCCCGUGACGAGUGUGCUGCAGGUUUUAGUUUCCGCAGUCAAGAAGAGAAAGGCGGCGUUGCCGGAACAGCCGUCGGUAUCCCUUUGUAACCACAUUCCUCCUAAUUCCAUCAGCUCGAGGCUCGCUUACACGAAGCAAUUCAGAUUCCUCAACAAAGCAGCGAUCAUCACCCCUGAAGACCAAAUCAAGCCCGACGGUUCAGCCGCAAAUCCAUGGAGACUCUGCAGUAUCCAGCAAGUGGAAGAACUGAAAUGCCUGUUGAGAAUCACACCCAUAUGGGCGGCAGGGAUCAUCUACUACGUCUCCGUAGUCCAGCAGCAAACCUACGUAGUCUUCCAGGCCAUUCAGUCCGACAGGCGUCUGGGCAACACCAGUUUCCGGAUCCCACCGGCGUCCUACAUUGUCUUCAGCAUGUUAACCCUCACUAUAUGGAUCCCUAUCUACGACAGAAUCAUAGUGCCAACUCUCCGAAAGCUAACCAAAAAAGAAGACGGAAUCACAAUCCUCCAAAAAAUUGGCAUUGGAAUGGGCGUCGCGAUAGCCACUAUGGUCGUAUCGGCCAUAGUAGAAACGCAUAGGAGGGAUUUAGCUCUUACUAGGCCAACAUUAGGGUCUGUACCGAGAAAAGGUGCGAUUUCUUCCAUGUCGGGGUACUGGCUAGUCCCUCAGUUGGCACUAGCGGGACUUUCUGAAGGGUUCGCGAUUAUUGGACAAAUCGAGUUUUUCUACAAGCAGUUCCCGGAAAACAUGAGGAGUAUCGCGGGGUCUUGCUUGUUUUGCGGGAUGGCGUUGGCGAGUUAUUUGAGCAGCUUCUUGGUGUCGACGGUGCACGGCAUAACGGAGGGAGAUGCGAGAGGGAAUUGGUUGGCAGAAGAUCUUAACAAGGGGAGAUUGGACUACUUUUACUAUCUAAUCGCUGCACUAGAGUUCUUGAACUUGGUCUACUUCCUUUUGUGUGCAAAGUGGUACAAGUACAAAGGAGCCAAUGCCAAAACCCUUGACUUUCCCCUUGAGACAAUGCAGUCCGAUAACCCUCCGGUUUGAUACACAAAACGAGUCGAGCUUCUUUGUUUUGUUUUACUUAGAAAGCGAAUGCAUGUCCUACGUAUUACGAAUACACACCACGGAAAUCCAUAAAUAUGUAACGGAACAUCUUUAGUUUAUAAAAAAAUUGAUCUUUCGGUCCUUACUGAAAAUCUAAAGGGGCCUCAGGGGAGAGCUAUCGGUCGCCUUCUCUCUUUUUAUCUUUUUCCUUUUUUUUUGGCAAAAACUUAGGUGAUGAUAAAAACUUGGUUGCCCUUGUCAAGUAUAGGUGGUUUUCAUGAAAAUGACCUUUCACUCUGGCUGGUUGGAUUGGUCAACUGGUGUGUUUACUUGGCUCUGUCUUGCCUGAUUUACAAGUUAGUACGACAAUGGCCCUCGGGUGAUGACUUCUACGGCCUGUUUGAAACUUAGGGAAUUGAAAAAGGAAAUAAAAA
Molecule: RNA transcript, 2259 nt
Organism: Rhododendron vialii
Lineage: Eukaryota; Viridiplantae; Streptophyta; Magnoliopsida; Ericales; Ericaceae
Gene name: protein NRT1/ PTR FAMILY 2.11-like
Exons: 5
Source: RefSeq, a predicted model, not a curated record